UGAGGAAUAUUGGUCAAUGGGCGGGAGCCUGAACCAGCCAAGCCGCGUGAGGGAGGAAGGCCCUAUGGGUCGUAAACCUCUUUUGUCAGGGAACAAAAGCGAGUAUGUAUACUAGUCUGAGUGUACCUGAAGAAAAAGCAUCGGCUAACUCCGUGCCAGCAGCCGCGGUAAUACGGAGGAUGCGAGCGUUAUCCGGAUUUAUUGGGUUUAAAGGGUGCGUAGGCGGCGGUGCAAGUCAGCGGUAAAAGCCCGGGGGCUCAACCCCGGCGAGCCGUUGAAACUGCAGUGCUAGAGAAGGCGAGAGUACGCGGAAUGCGCAGUGUAGCGGUGAAAUGCUUAGAUAUUGCGCAGAACUCCGAUUGCGAAGGCAGCGUACUGGCGCCUGACUGACGCUGAGGCACGAAAGCGUGGGGAUCGAACAGGAUUAGAUACC
Molecule: ribosomal RNA, 433 nt
Filed under: uncultured bacterium
Lineage: Bacteria
Description: bacterial SSU rRNA
Rfam family: Bacterial small subunit ribosomal RNA
Source: RNAcentral